Long non-coding RNA from Sorghum bicolor (sorghum), 3162 nucleotides. RefSeq lists it as uncharacterized. NCBI's taxonomy places the organism in Eukaryota, Viridiplantae, Streptophyta, Magnoliopsida, Poales, Poaceae. The record is from RefSeq and is a predicted model, not a curated record. The transcript has 4 exons.
UCCUCGGCGCCCCCUCGCCCGCCUCCUCCUCCUCCUCCUCCGGCAUCUCUUUCCUUCCCUGCGUUCGCAUUUCCUGCCUCCGCGGAAUCGAGCCCCCCUUCCUCUGCGACGACGCCGCAACCCAGCUCGCCGCUGCGUCAUCUCAUUCCUUCCCCACAUUCGGAUUUCCUGCCUCAACGCCAUCGAGGCCUCCCUUCUCCGGUCCUCUGCGACGACGCUGGAUCUCCGCCCACAUGGGGAACGACACGCCCGCUGCCGCCCUGUGCGGCCUCACACCGGAGGAGCUCAUGACGGAGCAGCAGCGGAGCGGCACUGUCGGGGAGCCCCCGCGGGAGCGGCUCGAGGACGAACUCCUCCAAGAGCAGGAAUCCUAUUGGCCAUGCGAUGGCUGAUGGGGGCGAACACCGCCGCUGCAUCGACAUCCGACGACCGGGGGGCACUGAUGCUACCACGUCCCUGACGAGCGGGCUGCCAUAGGGGUGGGCAAUGGCACAAGAAGCCUACAGCGACGACAACUGCAAGAUUUCUAAGCUGGUCCUGCCAUUGAAGAUUCUCUGCCUGCGUCAAAUCAUUGUGUUCUUUGGAGAUCUUUACCUCCCAAAUCCUUCCCUGGUUGAAGGAUUGAUCUUGGUUUUGCUUCAUAGUGCAGCUGCCGGUAGUUAGAGGUUAGUGUCAGGUCUCAGAACUUGGAGAACUCCUGAAAGUUGGUAUGAUCUCAACUCCUACCGGUGUCUAUCAGUUCGUGUCUAAUAGCUCCUAGGAGGACAUGAUGAAACCUUUUCAUUUUCUGAUUUUCUUGCAGCUGCCCUAGAGCAUGCAUCGCACUCUGUCUUGCUGUUGCUUUGGCCUAAUAUAGUCACACCUCAUCUGAAUAUCUGAUCACAUUAUUUACAUGCUUGCAUUCACAUGUGCAGAUACAUAUGUGAAACAGAAACCAUCGGAGAUGUACAAUUUUAAAACUUUGAAAUGGCACAUGCUGAUGCAGGUUAAUUCCGAUGAUCCUAUCCAUUAGAAUUGACAUACAUUUGUAUUUAUGAUCUUAUCUGUUACAAAGAAGUUUGUGAUUAUUUUUUUAUUCUGAAAAAAAAGAAGAUCCUAUUGCUUUUUGGAAACUACGGUUAGGUGACUUUACUGCAAGUGAUAUACAACCUUUCGUUUUAUCUCCUAGAUUGGAGCUUUAUUUAACAAAAAUGAUGGUCAUGUCAAUAAUAAGAAAGCAAGCCUAGACCAAGCCUGCAGUGGGAUGGAUAUAUGGAUAGGUAGGUUUUAGAGAUUAAUCAUUUCUAUGCAUAGCCAUUUUGUAUCUGAUCACAGGUGCAGAAGACUUCUUAGUACUUGCCAAUAUGAUGUUCACAAAUAAAUUCAGAGUUUGGUUAAUCAUAGUUUAGGUUCUAAUAAAGCUACAGUCCUGCCCCAAGCAUGCAUUAGUCACUUCACUUAUAUAUCUAUAAUGGUCCUUAUGGCUGCACAACAUAAAUUUGGCAUCCCUACUUAGACACAAGUUUAAGUCCUUGAUGACUUCUACAUUUUUUGAUAUCUAGAGGUCAUAUCUAGAGGCGACGACUACUAUUGCUGCUGCACAAACAGCCUGUGGCUAUGUCCUUCUGUUCAAUACGACAUGUCAUAGUACAACAAAUAAUUUGACACUAUUGCUCUUAAUAUUUGAGUUUGGAAUGUGGAAGUGUGUUCUACUUUUUUUUGGCAAAAUAGAUUUACUGCAUUCUUUCUAGAAUGCGGCAUCUCAGUUCACCUAACACUUCUUGAAAUAUAUUAAUUAUUAUUUAAAUAAAAUGAUAUGGUGGAUAAAUAUUAAAUAUAAAUGACGUGCUGUCCAGCAUGUAUUUGUACAUAUAUUUGUAAAAAUUAGGAGCUUGAGAAGAAAGAAAAUCUGCAGCAAGCUGCAGUUUUGUGCUCAGAGAUAGAGAUGACAGUGGCCUAGGUCGUUGCGUGUGUGUGUAUAGAUAGCAGCAGGGGAAGAUGAGAUGUGUUAGCUGCUGCCAUUGUAGGAUCAUGGGAGCAUGGGGUGUGGCUUCUUGCUGCUGCAAGAGUUGUGCUAUGUACUACUGGAACUUUUUGCUGCAUAACAACAAUGUCCUUCUAAAAGGUAGGGAACAUUAAAUUUGUGUGAUAUAUUUCUUUGAUGAUUGCUGGUGUGUUUCCCAGUAGAAUGCAUAGGAUAUCCAAACACAUUUAGAUGUCAUGUCAUCAGUGCUGAACAACUAUCUAAAUUGUCAAUAGCAAUUGACAAAUUAGGAAACCAGUAAAGUACUUCGAGUAUGAUUGAGUUGUGUAGGACCUUGAUUUUUUAGGCUGUGUGCUCUAUUAAUAAUAUGCAAUUUAUAAUGUGUACACUGAAUCAACAUACUGUGACUGAAUGGUUUCUACUAUUUUGGUCAGCUGUCCAUUAUUUGUCCUGUCUUCAGAAAUUUGGUAUAUUAGUUGCAGACUAUAUGAAAUAAUGCCUUAGAUAAGCUGGGAGUUGUUUAGCCAAUUCAAUUAACAUGUGAAUUAUUGAACUGCAUAAUUUAUCUGCCUUUUGAAAUCUUCCGUUUGUGUUUGCAAGCUGACACCACUCACAUAUAUUUCAUCAUCAGUAAGUUAUUUCAGUUGCUCCACCAUCUCUCCAGUUACCUAAUAUCAAUUGUAUUUGUCAUCAUUACACAAUUUAAUACAUCUCUGAUAAGCAUCAAGGCUGUCGCUUGCCAUCAAGGCGUUGGUUACCAGCUGCAGUCCUACAAAUAUUGGCACUCCAUUUGCAGGGAGGAGUCACCUCAGUUAUUUUCAUGUUGUGUGGGAUGAGAAAAAAAUUACCAUUCAUUGACGAUGAUUAUAAAGCUCAGCUAUGAUGUUCUAUAGGUAUGUACAAACCUUGAGAAGAUGAGAGAGAAGAUGGUGAAGGAGGGACAGGAGGUGAGCUAUCACAUGUGGGCCGAGGCAGAUGGAGUUGAUGAGGCAGAGCUGAAGAGCAAGCUGCAAGCAGGUUACUGCUGAGAGAGGCUGCUGGUGCUUGUUCCAUUUGGUUUAGUAGUUAUAGAUCAUUUUUUUUGGUGUAUGUCCAACAUCUGGUCCUUAAUUCUCGAGACAUCCUCACUACAGUAACAAUCUGGUUGUUAAAAAAACUAAUCAAUAUCAAUCUUUAUCUUUGAGAAGUUUUGUAGACAA